Molecule: ribosomal RNA, 492 nt
Filed under: uncultured bacterium
Lineage: Bacteria
Description: partial 16S ribosomal RNA
Rfam family: Bacterial small subunit ribosomal RNA
Source: RNAcentral
GAUGAACGCUAGCUACAGGCUUAACACAUGCAAGUCGAGGGGAAACGGCAUCGAAAGCUUGCUUUUGAUGGGCGUCGACCGGCGCACGGGUGAGUAACGCGUAUCCAACCUGCCCAUCACUUGGGAAUAACCUUGCGAAAGUAAGACUAAUGCCCAAUGACAUCCCACGAAGGCAUCCGAAUGGGAUUAAAGAUUUAUCGGUGAUGGAUGGGGAUGCGUCUGAUUAGCUUGUUGGCGGGGUGACGACCCACCAAGGCAACGAUCAGUAGGGGUUCUGAGAGGAAGGUCCCCCACAUUGGAACUGAGACACGGUCCAAACUCCUACGGGAGGCAGCAGUGAGGAAUAUUGGUCAAUGGGCGAGAGCCUGAACCAGCCAAGUAGCGUGCAGGAUGACGGCCCUAUGGGUUGUAAACUGCCUUUAUAAGGGAAUAAAGUGGGUCACGUGUGACUUUUUGCAUGUACCUUAUGAAUAAGAACCGGCUAAUUCCGUG